UCAAUGGUCUCUCUCGAGACCAACACAAUCAUUCUAUAGAUGAUUU
This is a non-coding RNA of Arabidopsis lyrata subsp. lyrata, 46 nucleotides long. NCBI's taxonomy places the organism in Eukaryota, Viridiplantae, Streptophyta, Magnoliopsida, Brassicales, Brassicaceae. The record is from Rfam.